ACUUCCCUACGGGGCGCAGCAGUAGGGAAUCUUCCACAAUGGACGAAAGUCUGAUGGAGCAACGCCGCGUGAGUGAAGAAGGGUUUCGGCUCGUAAAGCUCUGUUGGUAGUGAAGAAAGAUAGAGGUAGUAACUGGCCUUUAUUUGACGGUAAUUACUUAGAAAGUCACGGCUAACUACGUGCCAGCAGCCGCGGUAAUACGUAGGUGGCAAGCGUUGUCCGGAUUUAUUGGGCGUAAAGCGAGUGCAGGCGGGUCCAUAAGGCUGAUGUGAAAAGCUUCGGGUCAACCCGAAGA
RNAcentral lists this ribosomal RNA (295 nucleotides) under uncultured bacterium. RNAcentral's name for it is "partial 16S ribosomal RNA". It matches the Rfam family "Bacterial small subunit ribosomal RNA", at positions 333 to 620 of the family's 1533-position model. The record is from RNAcentral.